UGGGGAAUAUUGCACAAUGGGGAAAGACCCUGAUGCAGCGACGCCGCGUGAGUGAAGAAGUAUCUCGGUAUGUAAAGCUCUAUCAGCAGGGAAGAAAAUGACGGUACCUGACUAAGAAGCCCCGGCUAACUACGUGCCAGCAGCCGCGGUAAUACGUAGGGGCAAGCGUUAUCCGGAUUUACUGGGUGUAAAGGGAGCGUAGACGGCGGAGCAAGUCUGAUGUGAAAGGCAUGGGCUCAACCUGUGGACUGCAUUGGAAACUGUCAUACUUGAGUGCCGGAGGGGUAAGCGGAAUUCCUAGUGUAGCGGUGAAAUGCGUAGAUAUUAGGAGGAACACCAGUGGCGAAGGCGGCUUACUGGACGGUAACUGACGUUGAGGCUCGAAAGCGUGGGGAUCGAACAGGAUUAGAUACCC
This 415-nucleotide ribosomal RNA is filed under the name uncultured bacterium. RNAcentral's name for it is "bacterial SSU rRNA". It matches the Rfam family "Bacterial small subunit ribosomal RNA", at positions 355 to 787 of the family's 1533-position model. The record is from RNAcentral.